This 758-nucleotide ribosomal RNA is filed under the name uncultured bacterium. RNAcentral's name for it is "bacterial SSU rRNA". It matches the Rfam family "Bacterial small subunit ribosomal RNA", at positions 28 to 776 of the family's 1533-position model. The record is from RNAcentral.
GAUGAACGCUAGCUACAGGCUUAACACAUGCAAGUCGAGGGGCAUCAGGAAGAAAGCUUGCUUUCUUUGCUGGCGACCGGCGCACGGGUGAGUAACACGUAUCCAACCUGCCCUUUACUCGGGGAUAGCCUUUCGAAAGAAAGAUUAAUACCCGAUGGCAUAAUGAUUCCGCAUGGUUUCAUUAUUAAAGGAUUCCGGUAAAGGAUGGGGAUGCGUUCCAUUAGGUUGUUGGUGAGGUAACGGCUCACCAAGCCUUCGAUGGAUAGGGGUUCUGAGAGGAAGGUCCCCCACAUUGGAACUGAGACACGGUCCAAACUCCUACGGGAGGCAGCAGUGAGGAAUAUUGGUCAAUGGGCGCUAGCCUGAACCAGCCAAGUAGCGUGAAGGAUGAAGGCUCUAUGGGUCGUAAACUUCUUUUAUAUAAGAAUAAAGUGCAGUAUGUAUACUGUUUUGUAUGUAUUAUAUGAAUAAGGAUCGGCUAACUCCGUGCCAGCAGCUGCGGUAAUACGGAGGAUCCGAGCGUUAUCCGGAUUUAUUGGGUUUAAAGGGAGCGUAGGUGGACUGGUAAGUCAGUUGUGAAAGUUUGCGGCUCAACCGUAAAAUUGCAGUUGAUACUGUCAGUCUUGAGUACAGUAGAGGUGGGCGGAAUUCGUGGUGUAGCGGUGAAAUGCUUAGAUAUCACGAAGAACUCCGAUUGCGAAGGCAGCUCACUGGACUGCAACUGACACUGAUGCUCGAAAGUGUGGGUAUCAAACAGG